RNAcentral lists this ribosomal RNA (120 nucleotides) under Lepisosteus oculatus (spotted gar). Lineage: Eukaryota; Metazoa; Chordata; Actinopteri; Semionotiformes; Lepisosteidae. The record is from RNAcentral.
GCCAGCGGCCAUAUCACCCUGCAACUAACAACUGGCAACCCUACUGAAGCUCAGCGGGUGUGAGCCUGGUCAGUACCUGAAUGGGAGACCUCCUGGGAAAAACUAAGGUUCCUACUGGAA